Molecule: ribosomal RNA, 255 nt
Filed under: Klebsiella pneumoniae
Lineage: Bacteria; Pseudomonadati; Pseudomonadota; Gammaproteobacteria; Enterobacterales; Enterobacteriaceae
Also listed under: 2 other names
Description: partial 23S ribosomal RNA
Rfam family: Bacterial large subunit ribosomal RNA
Source: RNAcentral
GCGAGGCCGAAAGGCGUAGUCGAUGGGAAACAGGUUAAUAUUCCUGUACUUGGUGUUACUGCGAAGGGGGGACGGAGAAGGCUAUGUUAGCCGGGCGACGGUUGUCCCGGUUUAAGCAUGUAGGCUGAUUGUCCAGGCAAAUCCGGAUAAUCAAGGCUGAGGUGUGAUGACGAGGCACUACGGUGCUGAAGUAACAAAUGCCCUGCUUCCAGGAAAAGCCUCUAAGCAUCAGGUAACAUCAAAUCGUACCCCAAA